AUACGGAGGGUGCGAGCGUUAAUCGGAAUUACUGGGCGUAAAGCGUGCGUAGGCGGUUUGUUAAGUCAGAAGUGAAAGCCCUGGGCUCAACCUGGGAACGGCUUUUGAGACUGGCAGACUCGAGUUGAGUAGAGGGGAGUGGAAUUUCCGGUGUAGCGGUGAAAUGCGUAGAGAUCGGAAGGAACACCAGUGGCGAAGGCGACUCCCUGGACUCAAACUGACGCUGAGGUACGAAAGCGUGGGUAGCAAACAGGAUUAGAAACCCCUGUAGUCC
RNAcentral lists this ribosomal RNA (274 nucleotides) under uncultured bacterium. Its description in RNAcentral is "partial 16S ribosomal RNA". It matches the Rfam family "Bacterial small subunit ribosomal RNA", at positions 523 to 796 of the family's 1533-position model. The record is from RNAcentral.